AAGGGCACCACAAGAACGCGUGGAGCUUUUGGCUUAAUUUGACUCAACGCGGGAAAUCUUACCGGGUCCGGACACACUGAGGAUUGACAGGCAAUAUUAAUAAUUUAUUUUUUCUGUGUGUUUUAACGCACAUCAGUAAUAUAUUUUAUUAUGUUAAAUAUGCUAGUCCUUUCAUGAUUAUGUGAUAGGUGGUGCAUGGCCGUUCUUAGUUCGUGGAGUGAUCUGUCUGCUUAAUUGCGUUUCACUAAGGGCCUAGAAAUCUACGUAUGUUGCGACACUUUGACCCCUCCUUGUGUGCGUGCGUCUUUGUUUGUUUAGCUCAUACAAAUAGGUCCUGAAAGCAACGAACGUGACCGCAACCUCUUGUUGCUUUCGUAUAUAUAUGAUACAUGUAUUUUAUUAUACUAGUAUAAUAUAUUAUACAUACUGCAUACAUAAUAUUAUGUGUCAUUGUCACUAACUAAAAAUAUAAGACUUGUCUUUUUUUUUUAUGUUGUGUAGUGUCUUUACAUAUUUUGUAUAUCUUUAUGCACAGAAAGCCUUUUAAACUAGAGGGACCGCUGUUACUUUCUUAAACCAGAGGAAGGUUGCGGCAAUAACAGGUCUGUGAUGCCCUUAGAUGUUCCGGGCUGCACACGUGCUACAAUGAUUAUUGCAGUGAGCAUCUCAUUUUAUUAUUCACACCGCAUGCGCGAGACCAUUUAUUCUCUCUUCGCGAGUGUUUUAAAUGUGUAUCUCUGCGCGCGGUAAAGCCUACUUCGAAAGUAAGCGGGUAAUCAAUUAGAAGUAAUGAUUUCCUAUAUUUUAUUGUAUCAUUUUUUUGGUAUAGUAAUUCUGCACACAUAUAUACGGCAUCUUUACCCGGGUAGCCUUGUUGUUACUUUUUGUGCGUAUCGAUGUUUUUUUCCGUAUGUGCGAUUGUCAAUUCAUGGUGGGGACAGACCAUUGUUAAUUGUUGGUCUCGGUCUUAACUAGGAAUGCCUUGUACGGGUCUUUGGUUCAACAAACCACCCGGAAUACGUCCCUGCCCUUUGUACACACCGCCCGUCGCUCUUACCGAUGGACUUCUCUGUGAGUUUGAGGGACUGGGAACGCAUGUAAUAAAUUUUAUUUAUUUAUGCACACCUAUGGAAAC
This 1135-nucleotide ribosomal RNA is filed under the name Globobulimina turgida. Its description in RNAcentral is "bacterial SSU rRNA". It matches the Rfam family "Eukaryotic small subunit ribosomal RNA", at positions 1160 to 1764 of the family's 1831-position model. Lineage: Eukaryota; Foraminifera; Rotaliida; Buliminidae. The record is from RNAcentral.